UCCUACGGGAGGCAGCAGUGGGGAAUAUUGCGCAAUGGGCGAAAGCCUGACGCAGCGACGCCGCGUGGGUGAUGAAGGCCUUCGGGUCGUAAAACCCUGUCGGGUGGAACGAAUUCCGCCCCGCUAAUACCGAGGCGGUUUGACGGUACCACCGAAGGAAGCCCCGGCUAACUACGUGCCAGCAGCCGCGGUAAUACGUAGGGGGCGAGCGUUGUUCGGAUUUACUGGGCGUAAAGAGCGCGUAGGCGGUUCGAUAAGUCGGAGGUGAAAUCCCUCGGCUUAACCGAGGACCCGCGUCCGAUACUGUCGAACUUGAGUGCAGGAGAGGAGAGCGGAAUUCCCAGUGUAGCGGUGAAAUGCGUAGAUAUUGGGAGGAACACCGGUGGCGAAGGCGGCUCUCUGGACUGUCACUGACGCUGAGGCGCGAAAGCUAGGGGAGCAAACGGGAUUAGAUACCCUGGUAGUC
RNAcentral lists this ribosomal RNA (466 nucleotides) under uncultured bacterium. Its description in RNAcentral is "bacterial SSU rRNA". It matches the Rfam family "Bacterial small subunit ribosomal RNA", at positions 337 to 795 of the family's 1533-position model. The record is from RNAcentral.